AGUUUAUUAAAUCUCAACUAUGAAAAAAUAAAUAAAUGAGUUAUCUAUGGUGGACUUUUUAACACAAAUGAGUUCUUGAAGAGUAGAAGAAAGAAGAAAGAUAUGGACGAAAAAUUAUAGAAGUUGUUGUGUGCGGCUUUGAAAGAAGAGAGAUCAUGAUUCUGCUUCUCACCUAUGAUUUUUAUAGCAAAAGGGGGCUAGGCGUUUUUCCUUUUGUUGAUUAAAAUCUUUUUCUU
RNAcentral lists this long non-coding RNA (236 nucleotides) under Carica papaya (papaya). RNAcentral's name for it is "long non-coding RNA (CPAP_LNC006203)". Lineage: Eukaryota; Viridiplantae; Streptophyta; Magnoliopsida; Brassicales; Caricaceae. The record is from RNAcentral.